Molecule: small RNA, 89 nt
Filed under: unclassified sequences
Description: GA-cis RNA
Rfam family: GA-cis RNA
Source: Rfam by way of RNAcentral
AGGAGGAGGUCCCCAAUGAUGCGCAGCAUCAUUUUUGCAUGGGACCGACGACUUGCCGCCGAAACGUAGCUGAGGGGGCCGUUCAGAUG